This 101-nucleotide Y RNA is filed under the name Propithecus coquereli (Coquerel's sifaka). Its description in RNAcentral is "Y RNA (ENSPCOG00000005883.1)". It matches the Rfam family "Y RNA". From Rfam's summary of the family: Y RNAs are components of the Ro ribonucleoprotein particle (Ro RNP), in association with Ro60 and La proteins. The Y RNAs and Ro60 and La proteins are well conserved, but the function of the Ro RNP is not known. Lineage: Eukaryota; Metazoa; Chordata; Mammalia; Primates; Indriidae. The record is from Rfam by way of RNAcentral.
GGUUGGUCCAAGUGCAGUGGUGUUUAUAGCUAAUUGAUCACAACCAGUGACAGAUUCCUUUUCUCCUUCUCCACUCCACUGCUUCACUUGAUGAGCCUGUA